RNAcentral lists this long non-coding RNA (1716 nucleotides) under Anas platyrhynchos platyrhynchos (common mallard). RNAcentral's name for it is "lncRNA (ENSAPLG00000021536.1)". The record is from RNAcentral. Lineage: Eukaryota; Metazoa; Chordata; Aves; Anseriformes; Anatidae.
CUGUUCAAGGCACAUGUUUCAGUGCAAAGUAGCUUUCUGUACAGCCAUCUGUGAUUGUUCUGCCAUUACUAAAAGAAUUGUGUGCUUGCAUAGUGUGUGAAAUGCUGGAGGACAUAGGAAGAUGUGCUUUGAAGGCACCUUGCACCCACUGUCAGUGAAGUGUUCUGGAUGGACCCUGAGGGCUUAAUCUCUGCUUUGGUUCCUGAGAGUAGGACUUCUCCUCUGCGUGUUCUCAGUGCAACAUUGGAUUUACCUGAACAGCCUGGAUUUGGUCUGUGCUUUGCAUUUCUUCUGGGACAGAUCUGUGACUGCAAGUUGGACUUCCAGUCUUUGACAAACAUGGACAUACCAGCAAAAUGGUUUUUUGUACUGGUCAUACCCCUUGAAGAAGACUGCUCUUAUAGCAACUAAAUGCUGCAGUGUAGGGAGUUUCAAUUGCAGAGUACAUAUCUUACUGUAUUUUUUUCAGAUGGGCUGUGACCACAGUCUUCUGCUUCAUCUAAGGGAAAGUAUUAUUUUGGUUUGAAAGUAGUGGAAGAAUCUCUAUUAAUUUUCAAGUGCAAAUGAUAAAAUACAAACAAUUUAUUUCCCUUUACUCAUGUGGUAUAACAAGGUCUGAUUUAAAAUCUUUAGCAGAAAUCUAUUGCCAAAUUUUCAGGAUGAGCAACAGCAGAAAAAAUCAGUAUGCUAAAAACCAAAACAUUUCUUGUUGACUUAAGAAGCUCGUUAAAGUCUCAUUUGGGCCUGGUCUGUCGUUUGGUAUAAUCUGCGCAGUUAAGGCAUAAAAUGAUAUAAAUAUGGACUGGAGCCCAACCUCUGCACUUUCAAGAGCCAGUCCUACUUCAUUGGCUUCAAAGAAACCUAAAGAAUGAAACUGGAAUAGAGUGCCCUACAGGCUAGGCAAAUACAUGGAAAAUUUGUGCAACAUUCCAGGUUCAGUGAAGGAAAGCCAGCAGCAAGAAGAAGGUGUUCACCCAUUACCAUGAGGGAAAUGAAUGGUAUAUACCAGGCAAACAAUUUCACCUCCCUCACCUCAAAGAGAAAAUAGCCACAGGAGGUGCAUCCUUGGUGUAAGCACAUCUUCCCAGAUGAGAGGACUGGAAUAAUGAGCAGCUCUACUAAAAUCCCUGCAGGUGUGUGAAACAGCAUGUGAACUCUUCCCAAGAAAGUCAAGUUCAUGUUGGUGGAAAGGGAAUUUAAGUGGAAUCCCUGAUAAAAACCUACUGGACCUACAUCCCACAUAAGGCCUGCUGACUGGGUGGAACCGAAAGGUGAAGAAGCACACAUACAUAAUCCAUCAGUUGGUUUGACGUGUGUGGGGUGGCUUCACUUAGGUGACUUCAUGUCUCAGAGAUCUGCUGAGCCACAGUGCCAGACUGCCUGCCUCACUCAUUGCCCAGGGCUGCAAUAUUUUCUCUGCUGCCAUCAUCCCUCUGGGAGAAGGCUUUCCUUUUCAGAUGGGGUGGGAAUUUGUGGCCCAUGGGCUGCAUUGGUCUGGAGCUCUGUUCCAGAGGGCCUGCAGCCACACAAGUGGGAGGAAGGCAGACAGGCAUCUCACUAGUGCACAAAAAAUGAAUGUUAAUUAUGUUUCUAGUUAUCACAGGAGAAGUCUAUUAUCUGUGUGUCAAUGCACAGCCCACAAAGAUUGCACCAAAAUCCCAGCUAAAGCCUAGGUUAAAAAAUAAAUCUAAUCCUGUGACUGUUGAACCUCCUGUU